AAAUUGAAGAGUUUGAUCAUGGCUCAGAUUGAACGCUGGCGGCAGGCCUAACACAUGCAAGUCGAGCGGUAGCACAGAGAGCUUGCUCUCGGGUGACGAGCGGCGGACGGGUGAGUAAUGUCUGGGAAACUGCCUGAUGGAGGGGGAUAACUACUGGAAACGGUAGCUAAUACCGCAUAAUGUCGCAAGACCAAAGUGGGGGACCUUCGGGCCUCAUGCCAUCAGAUGUGCCCAGAUGGGAUUAGCUAGUAGGUGGGGUAACGGCUCACCUAGGCGACGAUCCCUAGCUGGUCUGAGAGGAUGACCAGCCACACUGGAACUGAGACACGGUCCAGACUCCUACGGGAGGCAGCAGUGGGGAAUAUUGCACAAUGGGCGCAAGCCUGAUGCAGCCAUGCCGCGUGUGUGAAGAAGGCCUUCGGGUUGUAAAGCACUUUCAGCGGGGAGGAAG
This 451-nucleotide ribosomal RNA is filed under the name Klebsiella pneumoniae. RNAcentral describes it as "bacterial SSU rRNA". It matches the Rfam family "Bacterial small subunit ribosomal RNA", at positions 1 to 450 of the family's 1533-position model. Lineage: Bacteria; Pseudomonadati; Pseudomonadota; Gammaproteobacteria; Enterobacterales; Enterobacteriaceae. The record is from RNAcentral.